This 907-nucleotide ribosomal RNA is filed under the name fungal sp. NIOCC F68. RNAcentral describes it as "SSU rRNA". It matches the Rfam family "Eukaryotic small subunit ribosomal RNA", at positions 87 to 999 of the family's 1831-position model. The record is from RNAcentral. Lineage: Eukaryota; Fungi.
CUGCGAAUGGCUCAUUAAAUCAGUUAUCGUUUAUUUGAUAGUACCUUACUACAUGGAUAACCGUGGUAAUUCUAGAGCUAAUACAUGCUAAAAACCCCGACUUCGGGAGGGGUGUAUUUAUUAGAUAAAAAACCAAUGCCCUUCGGGGCUCCUUGGUGAAUCAUAAUAACUUAACGAAUCGCAUGGCCUUGCGCCGGCGAUGGUUCAUUCAAAUUUCUGCCCUAUCAACUUUCGAUGGUAGGAUAGUGGCCUACCAUGGUAUCAACGGGUAACGGGGAAUUAGGGUUCUAUUCCGGAGAGGGAGCCUGAGAAACGGCUACCACAUCCAAGGAAGGCAGCAGGCGCGCAAAUUACCCAAUCCCGACACGGGGAGGUAGUGACAAUAAAUACUGAUACAGGGCUCUUUUGGGUCUUGUAAUUGGAAUGAGUACAAUUUAAAUCCCUUAACGAGGAACAAUUGGAGGGGCAAGUCUGGUGCCAGCAGCCGCGGUAAUUUCCAGCUCCAAUAGCGUAUAUUAAAGUUGUUGCAGUUAAAAAGCUCGUAGUUGAACCUUGGGCCUGGCUGGCCGGUCCGCCUCACCGCGUGUACUGGUCCGGCCGGGCCUUUCCUUCUGGGGAGCCGCAUGGCCUUCACUGGCCGUGUCGGGGAACCAGGACUUUUACUUUGAAAAAAUUAGAGUGUUCAAAGCAGGCCUUUGCUCGAAUACAUUAGCAUGGAAUAAUAGAAUAGGACGUGCGAUCCUAUUUUGUUGGUUUCUAGGACCGCCGUAAUGAUUAAUAGGGAUAGUCGGGGGCAUCAGUAUUCAAUUGUCAGAGGUGAAAUUCUUGGAUUUAUUGAAGACUAACUACUGCGAAAGCAUUUGCCAAGGAUGUUUUCAUUAAUCAGUUGAACGAAAGUUAGGGGAUC